GGCGAACGGGUGAGUAACGCGUUGAUGACCUGCCCCAAAGUGUGGAAUAACAGUCCGAAAGGAUUGCUAAUACCGCAUGUGGUUGUCGGAUUUAGAAACUGACAUCUAAAGGAGUAAUCCGCUUUGGGAGGGAUCUGCGUCCCAUCAGCUAGUUGGUGAGGUAACGGCUCACCAAGGCGACGACGGGUAGGGGACCUGAGAGGGUGGCCCCCCACAAUGGAACUGAAACACGGUCCAUACACCUACGGGUGGCAGCAGUAGGGAAUAUUGCUCAAUGGGCGAAAGCCUGAAGCAGCAACGCCGCGUGUGCGAUGAAGGCCCUCGGGUCGUAAAGCACUUUUCUGAGAGAUGAGAAAGGACAGUAUCUCAGGAAUAAGUCUCGGCUAACUACGUGCCAGCAGCCGCGGUAAAACGUAGGAGGCGAGCGUUAUCCGGAUUCACUGGGCGU
This 448-nucleotide ribosomal RNA is filed under the name uncultured Anaerolineae bacterium. Its description in RNAcentral is "bacterial SSU rRNA". It matches the Rfam family "Bacterial small subunit ribosomal RNA", at positions 97 to 561 of the family's 1533-position model. The record is from RNAcentral. Lineage: Bacteria; Bacillati; Chloroflexota; Anaerolineae.